ACACCAUGGGAGUGGGCUGCAAAAGAAGUGGGUAGUUUAACCUUUCGAGGAGGACGCUCACCACUUUGUGGUUCAUGACUGGGGUGAAGUCGUAACAAGGUAGCGCUAGGGGAACCUGGCGCUGGAUCACCUCCUUAUACGAUGAU
This 146-nucleotide ribosomal RNA is filed under the name Vibrio sinensis. RNAcentral describes it as "Vibrio sp. BEI233 partial 16S ribosomal RNA". It matches the Rfam family "Bacterial small subunit ribosomal RNA", at positions 1399 to 1533 of the family's 1533-position model. Lineage: Bacteria; Pseudomonadati; Pseudomonadota; Gammaproteobacteria; Vibrionales; Vibrionaceae. The record is from RNAcentral.